AUUCAACAACAGGGAGGGUCUAUUGUUAAUGUAGGAAGCAUUGUUGGCUUAAAAGGCAAUUCUGGCCAGUCCGUUUACAGUGCCAGUAAAGGAGGAUUAGUUGGAUUUUCACGUGCUCUUGCUAAAGAGGUAGCAAGAAAGAAAAUUAGAGUGAAUGUAGUUGCACCAGAACUCAUCCCAAGAACAGUAUCCAUAAGGAAGAUGGAAAAAGGGGACAGAAUAAAUGUUACCCUAAGAAGUCCAGCGCAACAUGGUACCUGAUUAGCUGUUUCCUCUUCUGGCUCCUGAAUAUUAAAGACAGUUGCACUGUCAGCACCUAGUAGUCGACGAGCCAUUCUUUCUUCGUAUGUUAACCUCUAAACAAAGCAUGAUCUUACUCUUGAUUGUAGCCACCCAUAAAGAAAAGCAUAUCUCUAAUCUCAGAAGCACAAGGAGCUCAUACCAGGAAACCAAGAUUAGUAAGUAUUUUUGUGGUGAAUACCUUUUGAAUAAGACAGGAUUAAUGUAACAGUUAAAAGUAUAGAAAUAUAAAAGUUACGAACUUA
RNAcentral lists this small RNA (545 nucleotides) under Pongo abelii (Sumatran orangutan). RNAcentral's name for it is "processed transcript". Lineage: Eukaryota; Metazoa; Chordata; Mammalia; Primates; Hominidae. The record is from RNAcentral.